UUAGAAGUCACCCCCAGAUUGCGAAUUAGGAUGUUUUUCAGGCGACAGAUUCAGAGUAGAGUCACUCUACUCAAAAUUCUCAGCUUAUUAACUGACCUUGUGCCCAUGAUCAUCAUCCAAAAUUUAGGAGAUUUGCUGAUUAAGUUCACCACCUUCAACUUCUUGAUAUCAUUCAUCGGAUUUCUAUAAUUACACCAUAUU
RNAcentral lists this long non-coding RNA (201 nucleotides) under Elaeis guineensis (African oil palm). RNAcentral's name for it is "long non-coding RNA (EGUI_LNC025161)". The record is from RNAcentral. Lineage: Eukaryota; Viridiplantae; Streptophyta; Magnoliopsida; Arecales; Arecaceae.